Molecule: transfer RNA, 67 nt
Filed under: Japalura variegata
Lineage: Eukaryota; Metazoa; Chordata; Lepidosauria; Squamata; Agamidae
Description: tRNA-Ala
Source: RNAcentral
UAAAACCUGUAGAUCAAAUCCACAUCACCUGAAUGCAACUCAGACACUUUAAUUAAAUUAAGGCUUU